RNAcentral lists this ribosomal RNA (560 nucleotides) under uncultured marine bacterium. Its description in RNAcentral is "bacterial SSU rRNA". It matches the Rfam family "Bacterial small subunit ribosomal RNA", at positions 378 to 956 of the family's 1533-position model. The record is from RNAcentral.
CAACCCUGAUCUAGCCAUGCCGCGUGUGUGAUGAAGGCCCUAGGGUCGUAAAGCACUUUCGCCAGGGAUGAUAAUGACAGUAUCUGGUAAAGAAACCCCGGCUAACUCCGUGCCAGCAGCCGCGGUAAUACGGAGGGGGUUAGCGUUGUUCGGAAUUACUGGGCGUAAAGCGCACGUAGGCGGAUUAGUAAGUUAGAGGUGAAAUCCCAGGGCUCAACCCUGGAACUGCCUUUAAUACUGCUAGUCUUGAGUUCGAGAGAGGUAAGUGGAAUUCCGAGUGUAGAGGUGAAAUUCGUAGAUAUUCGGAGGAACACCAGUGGCGAAGGCGGCUUACUGGCUCGAUACUGACGCUGAGGUGCGAAAGUGUGGGGAGCAAACAGGAUUAGAUACCCUGGUAGUCCACACCGUAAACGAUGAAUGCCAGACGUCAGCAAGUAUACUUGUUGGUGUCACACCUAACGGAUUAAGCAUUCCGCCUGGGGAGUACGGUCGCAAGAUUAAAACUCAAAGGAAUUGACGGGGGCCCGCACAAGCGGUGGAGCAUGUGGUUUAAUUCGAUG